GACGAACGCUGGCGGCGUGCCUAACACAUGCAAGUCGAACGGAAAGGCCCUGCGCCUGCUGCGUUCUCGAUCGGCGAACACGGGUGUGACACAUGUGUAACAUGCCCUUGACUGUCGGAUAACUUCAGGAGAAUGGGGCUAAUACCGGGUAGAAGCUCCUGCUGCACGGCGGUGGUUGGAAAGAGUCGGCGGUGGUGGAUGGACUCGAGGCUUAUGAGCUUGUUGGUGGAGUAGUGGCUUACCAAGGCUUUGACGGGUAGCCGGCCUGAGAGGGGGACCGGGCACAAUGGGACUGCGGUACGGAGCAGACGGGUACGGUCGGCAGUGGUCGGGAAUAUUGCGCAAUGGGGGGACGCGUGAUGUGACAGCGUUGGGUGCGUGAUGCUGGCUUUCGGGUUGUAAACAGAUUUCUAAGGUGCCGAAGAGUGCGUGACGGUAAUGGGUAAAGAAGCAACGGCUAACUACGUG
Molecule: ribosomal RNA, 468 nt
Filed under: uncultured bacterium
Lineage: Bacteria
Description: partial 16S ribosomal RNA
Rfam family: Bacterial small subunit ribosomal RNA
Source: RNAcentral